AAGUCGUAACAAGGUUUCCGUAGGUGAACCUGCGGAAGGAUCAUUAACACGGUUAGAUUUUCCAUUUGGAUUGUCAGUCUAUUUUUUCUUUAAUCGCCGCGCACCUUGUUAAAAAACGGACUUUGUUCGAACCAGGAAAUUGAGAGCAAGCUGCUUGAUUGAUGGGUGGCCUCUCGGUUGACAAACGACUUGGUUUUUGAAUCUCACGGUCCGUCAUCAAUCACUUGGAGCUUUCUUUUUGAUAAACACCUUUUCGUACUACUACCAGUCUGAAUCGUUUGAUCUCUCUGCCUCUUUUUCUUUUUUCUUUCUGAGAAAAGAGAGAGAGAGAGCGUUGGGAAAGAACAAAAAACAAAACUUUGAACAACUCUUAGCAACGGAUAUCUCGGUUCUC
This 394-nucleotide unclassified non-coding RNA is filed under the name fungal sp. RNAcentral's name for it is "partial internal transcribed spacer region". The stretch from base 1 to 46 matches the Rfam family "Eukaryotic small subunit ribosomal RNA", at positions 1786 to 1831 of the family's 1831-position model. The record is from RNAcentral. RNAcentral also lists the same sequence under 1 other name. Lineage: Eukaryota; Fungi.